GGCCCCGUAGCGCAAUGGUAGCGCAGUUGACUUUUAAUCAAUUGGUUGCAGGUUCGAGCCCUGCCGGGGUCA
Molecule: transfer RNA, 72 nt
Filed under: Anaerolineae bacterium
Lineage: Bacteria; Bacillati; Chloroflexota; Anaerolineae
Description: tRNA-Lys
Rfam family: tRNA
About the family: Transfer RNA (tRNA) molecules are approximately 80 nucleotides in length.
Source: RNAcentral